UCUGGGCAUGGUGGUGCAUGCCUAUAAUCCCAGUUACUCAGGAGGUUGAGGCAGGAGGAUCACAAAUUCAAGGCUAGCCUCAGCAAUUUAUGAAGGCUCUAAGCAACUUAGUGAGAGACCCUGUCUCAA
RNAcentral lists this small RNA (129 nucleotides) under Marmota monax (woodchuck). Lineage: Eukaryota; Metazoa; Chordata; Mammalia; Rodentia; Sciuridae. The record is from RNAcentral.